UUAACACAUGCAAGUCGAACGGUGAAGCCAAGCUUGCUUGGUGGAUCAGUGGCGAACGGGUGAGUAACACGUGAGCAACCUGCCCUGGACUCUGGGAUAAGCGCUGGAAACGGCGUCUAAUACUGGAUAUGAGCNUNCUCCGCAUGGUGGGGGUUGGAAAGAUUUUUCGGUCUGGGAUGGGCUCGCGGCCUAUCAGCUUGUUGGUGAGGUAAUGGCUCACCAAGGCGUCGACGGGUAGCCGGCCUGAGAGGGUGACCGGCCACACUGGGACUGAGACACGGCCCAGACUCCUACGGGAGGCAGCAGUGGGGAAUAUUGCACAAUGGGCGGAAGCCUGAUGCAGCAACGCCGCGUGAGGGAUGACGGCCUUCGGGUUGUAAACCUCUUUUAGCAAGGAAGAAGCGAAAGUGACGGUACUUGCAGAAAAAGCGCCGGCUAACUACGUGCCAGCAGCCGCGGUAAUACGUAGGGCGCAAGCGUUAUCCGGAAUUAUUGGGCGUAAAGAGCUCGUAGGCGGUUUGUCGCGUCUGCUGUGAAAUCCCGAGGCUCAACCUCGGGCCUGCAGUGGGUACGGGCAGACUAGAGUGCGGUAGGGGAGAUUGGAAUUCCUGGUGUAGCGGUGGAAUGCGCAGAUAUCAGGAGGAACACCGAUGGCGAAGGCAGAUCUCUGGGCCGUAACUGACGCUGAGGAGCGAAAGGGUGGGGAGCAAACAGGCUUAGAUACCCUGGUAGUCCACCCCGUAAACGUUGGGAACUAGUUGUGGGGUCCUUUCCACGGAUUCCGUGACGCAGCUAACGCA
Molecule: ribosomal RNA, 800 nt
Filed under: bacterium
Lineage: Bacteria
Description: bacterial SSU rRNA
Rfam family: Bacterial small subunit ribosomal RNA
Source: RNAcentral